CGUUUUAGUGGCGGACGGGUGAGUAACGCGUGGGCAACCUGCCUUACACAGGGGGAUAACACCUGGAAACAGGUGCUAAUACCGCAUAAGCGCACAGGGCCGCAUGGCCCGGUGUGAAAAACUCCGGUGGUGUAAGAUGGACCCGCGUCUGAUUAGCUUGUUGGCGGGGUAGGGGCCCACCAAGGCGACGAUCAGUAGCCGGCCUGAGAGGGUGGACGGCCACAUUGGGACUGAGACACGGCCCAAACUCCUACGGGAGGCAGCAG
Molecule: ribosomal RNA, 266 nt
Filed under: uncultured bacterium
Lineage: Bacteria
Description: partial 16S ribosomal RNA
Rfam family: Bacterial small subunit ribosomal RNA
Source: RNAcentral